Non-coding RNA from Jaculus jaculus (lesser Egyptian jerboa), 381 nucleotides. NCBI's taxonomy places the organism in Eukaryota, Metazoa, Chordata, Mammalia, Rodentia, Dipodidae. The record is from the annotation of a RefSeq genome assembly.
AUGAGGUGCCCUGCUCAGCUCCUGGGGCUGAUGAUGCUCUGGAUCCCUGGAUCCAUUGGUGAUGUCGUGAUGACCCAGACUCCACUGUCCCUGUCUGUCACAGCAGGAGAGCCCGCCUCCAUCUCCUGCAGGUCGAGUCAGAGUCUCCUACAUAGUAAUGGAAACACAUAUCUACAAUGGUACCUGCAGAGGCCAGGCCAGUCUCCAAGGCUCCUGAUAUAUAAGGUUUCCAACCGUGAAUCUGGGGUCCCAGAAAGGUUCAUUGGCAGUGGGUCAGGGACAGAUUUCACACUCAAAAUCAGCAGAGUAGAGCCUGAGGACUUGGGUGUUUAUUACUGUGGUCAAGGUACACAUCUUCCUCCCACAGUGGUACAGCCCUGA